GCCGGGGAGUCAGCGGUGCCCUGUACCUGCAAUCCGCUACAGCAGGGGUGAUGUCCCGCCUCGGGCGUCAUGCGGCGGAGCUGCCCUUCACACGCGGCGUUGAAGUCUGGGUCUUGCGCAACGGAAAUCCGUGAACCGUGUCAGGGCAGGAAUGCAGCAGCACUAAGCGGAAGCUUUCGUGUGCCGUGAGACAGCCUGGGCCGAGCAGGCGAUGGAGGUAACGUCCGAAACAUGCGUCC
This 239-nucleotide signal recognition particle RNA is filed under the name uncultured Clostridium sp. Its description in RNAcentral is "Bacterial large signal recognition particle RNA". It matches the Rfam family "Bacterial large signal recognition particle RNA". From Rfam's summary of the family: The signal recognition particle (SRP) is a universally conserved ribonucleoprotein involved in the co-translational targeting of proteins to membranes. Archaeal SRP consists of a 7S RNA and homologues of the eukaryotic SRP19 and SRP54 proteins. Lineage: Bacteria; Bacillati; Bacillota; Clostridia; Eubacteriales; Clostridiaceae. The record is from RNAcentral.